Ribosomal RNA from Nomascus leucogenys (northern white-cheeked gibbon), 121 nucleotides. NCBI's taxonomy places the organism in Eukaryota, Metazoa, Chordata, Mammalia, Primates, Hylobatidae. The record is from Ensembl.
GUCUACAGCCAUACCACCCUGAAUGCACCUGAUCUCAUCUGAGCUCAGAAGUUAAGCAGGGUCGGGCCUGGUUAGUACUUGGAUGGCAGAAGUAAAUGAAAGCACGAGGGUAAUGAUGGCU